This 160-nucleotide ribosomal RNA is filed under the name Mastocarpus jardinii. RNAcentral's name for it is "5.8S ribosomal RNA". It matches the Rfam family "5.8S ribosomal RNA". Rfam says of the family: 5.8S ribosomal RNA (5.8S rRNA) is a component of the large subunit of the eukaryotic ribosome. It is transcribed by RNA polymerase I as part of the 45S precursor that also contains 18S and 28S rRNA. Functionally, it is thought that 5.8S rRNA may be involved in ribosome translocation. RNAcentral also lists the same sequence under 15 other names. Lineage: Eukaryota; Rhodophyta; Florideophyceae; Gigartinales; Phyllophoraceae. The record is from RNAcentral.
ACUCGUGACGGUGGAUGUCUUGGCUCCAGCAACGAUGAAGAACGCAGCAAAAUGCGAUACGUAGUGCGAAUUGCAGAACCCGUGAAUCAUCGAAUCUUUGAACGCAAGUUGCGCUCGCGGGCAAUCCUGCGAGCAUGUCUGUUUGAGUGUCCGCACAAAU